Penaeus monodon (black tiger shrimp) is the source of this 171-nucleotide long non-coding RNA. RefSeq lists it as uncharacterized. NCBI's taxonomy places the organism in Eukaryota, Metazoa, Arthropoda, Malacostraca, Decapoda, Penaeidae. The record is from RefSeq and is a predicted model, not a curated record. The transcript is spliced from 3 exons.
GAUUUAUGUAUGCAUACUAUGUACAGGGGUUCCAGUGAAUCCACUAGCGAGGAGACGUCUGAAUCAUCGAGCAGCGAGUCCAGUGAGUCGGAGAGUAGUGAGGAGACGACCGUGGCCACGACGAGUACCACCACAGCGGACGAGACGACCACACCGGAAGUAACGACCACA